GGAAGCUGGCGAUACGAGUUAAGCAGAAAUGAGCUCUAUUUGUAAUCUGGCAGACAUAUGGCUGUCCGAGUUGUAAGUUAGAGAAGUGUCAUCCGUGCUGGCCUGCACAAAAGUCCCUUGGAAAAGGGCAUCAUAGAGGGUGACAAUCCCGUCUUUGGUGCAGACCACCAGUGCAUUUGUGAUGCGCUCUCAAUGAGUCGAGUUGUUUGGGAAUGCAGCUCCAAAUGGGUGGUAAAUUCCAUCUAAAGCUAAAUAUGGGCGAGAAACCGAUAGCGCACAAGUACCGUGAGGGAAAGAUGAAAAGGACUUUGAAAAGAGAGUUAAACAGUACGUGAAAUUGUUGAAAGGGAAACGCUUGAAGUCAGUCAUAUCCCUCGGAAAUCAACCCACCCAUUGGGUCAGGUGCAUUUUCUGUUGGAUGGGUCAGCAUCAAUUUUGAUCAUUGGAUAAAGGGCUUGGGAAUGUGGCAUCUCCGGAUGUGUUAUAGACCAUGUCUGCAUACAAUGGUUGGGAUUGAGGAACUCAGUGUGACCUUUUGGUUUGGGGGUUUAACCUCACACUACACACUUAGGAUGCUGGCAUAAUGGCUUUAAUCGACCCGUCUUGAAACACGGACCAAGGAGUCUAACAUGCAUGCAAGUGUUUGGGUGGAAAACCCAAGCGCGUAAUGAAAGUGAAAGUUGAGAACCCUGUUAUGGGGUGCAUCGACGCCCGGCCCUGACCUUCUGUGACGGACCUGCGGUAGAGCAUGUAUGUUGGACCCGAAAGAUGGUGAACUAUGCCUGAAUAGGGUGAAGCCAGAGGAAACUCUGGUGGAAGCUCGUAGCGAUUCUGACGUGCAAAUCGAUCGUCGAAUUUGGGUAUAGGGCGAAAGACUAAUCGAACCAUCUAGUAGCUGGNCCCGCCGAAGUUUCCCU
RNAcentral lists this ribosomal RNA (917 nucleotides) under Clavaria atroumbrina. RNAcentral describes it as "LSU rRNA". It matches the Rfam family "Eukaryotic large subunit ribosomal RNA", at positions 73 to 973 of the family's 3401-position model. Lineage: Eukaryota; Fungi; Basidiomycota; Agaricomycetes; Agaricales; Clavariaceae. The record is from RNAcentral.